CGACGACUGGACUUUGCGUUUGGAUUUUCGAUCCCUGGGGCCGUAAUUUCACUCUCGGGAGCUGCCUCUGGCCGGAUCGUGGUCUGGCUACUUGUGGCGCCCACCUGCAAAGCAGGUCACAGAGGAUGAACGCACCGACGGUUGUGCUGGUCGUCGC
RNAcentral lists this non-coding RNA (157 nucleotides) under Alphaproteobacteria bacterium. RNAcentral's name for it is "6S RNA". It matches the Rfam family "6S / SsrS RNA". From Rfam's summary of the family: E. coli 6S RNA was the first non coding RNA to be sequenced, but its function was unknown until recently. It consists of 184 nucleotides that fold into an extended hairpin structure with a large single-stranded internal bulge. The record is from RNAcentral. Lineage: Bacteria; Pseudomonadati; Pseudomonadota; Alphaproteobacteria.